RNAcentral lists this ribosomal RNA (537 nucleotides) under uncultured bacterium. RNAcentral's name for it is "bacterial SSU rRNA". It matches the Rfam family "Bacterial small subunit ribosomal RNA", at positions 335 to 862 of the family's 1533-position model. The record is from RNAcentral.
UUUCCUACGGGAGGCAGCAGUGAGGAAUUUCCUGCAAUGAGGCAGCAGUGGGGAAUAGUAAACACGGGGCGCAAGCAUGAUCUAUCCAUUCGUAAAGUGUGAUGAAGGCCUUAGAAUCGUAAAGCUCUUUAUACAGAGAUGAUAAACGGUCCCUCUAGAAAGAAAAACCCGCGCUAAACUCCGCCCCAGCAGCCGCUGUUAUACGGAGGGGGUUAGCGUUUUUCGGAAUUACUGGGUGUAAAGCGUAUGUAGGCGGAUCAGAAAGUAUGGGGUGAAAUCCCAGGUCUCAACCGGAAGUGCAUUUCAUAAACUCAGACUCGAGAGUUGGAGAGGGGGGAGGAAUUUUCCGUGUAGAGGGGAAAAUUUUAGAUAUAUGGAGGAAAACCCCUGGGGAAGGGGCGGCUCUGGGCCUAUAUUGACGCGGAGAGGUGAAAAAGUGGGGAGCGCACACACGAAUAUACCCCUUAUUGUCCGCACGUGUUCCGAUGAAUGCCAGUGUUCGGCAGUAUUCCCUUCAGUGCCGCAGCUAACGCAUAA